UAUAAUAAUGAGUGUGCAACCUCGCAGAGCUUGGUUAUGCUGCCUGUGAGCUUUGCAUCCUUUCAAUAAAAAUGACCCUCGGCAAUGGAUAUCUCGGCUCUUGCAUCGAUGAAGAACGUAGCGAAAUGCGAUACGUGGUGUGAAUUGCAGAAUCCCGCGAACCAUCGAAACUUUGAACGCAAGUUGCGCCUCAAGCCAUUCGGUUGAGGGCACGUAUGCUUGGGUGUCAUGCACUAUGUCUCCCCUCUCGUGAGUGGAGUGGGAAUAGAUCCUGGCCUCCUGGGCCCUUCCAUGGGCGUGGUUGGCCGAAAAUGUUGUCCUUGAUUUUGUUGAUGUCUUGGUGUGCGGUGGAUGCGCCAGGUGUGCAUAGUUGCCAGCCUUGCUCGGCUUCAUUGUGGCGGCGGGAUCCUAUGAAGCUGCCGGUUUUGGCUCUUUGAUUGCAACCCCAAGUCAGGCGAGACUACCCGCUGAGUUUAAGCAUAUCAAUAAGCGGAGGAAA
Molecule: ribosomal RNA, 499 nt
Filed under: Cuscuta campestris
Lineage: Eukaryota; Viridiplantae; Streptophyta; Magnoliopsida; Solanales; Convolvulaceae
Description: eukaryotic LSU rRNA
Rfam family: 5.8S ribosomal RNA (bases 74-229)
Source: RNAcentral